RNAcentral lists this antisense RNA (75 nucleotides) under Mycobacterium marinum M. RNAcentral describes it as "ASpks TB sRNA". It matches the Rfam family "ASpks TB sRNA". Lineage: Bacteria; Bacillati; Actinomycetota; Actinomycetes; Mycobacteriales; Mycobacteriaceae. The record is from Rfam by way of RNAcentral.
CUUGACCGAGCCCAACCACAACGGACGAUCAGCAGGCCGAUCCUGCCCAUAAGUGGCCAAAAUUGCGUGAGCCUC